This 415-nucleotide ribosomal RNA is filed under the name uncultured bacterium. RNAcentral's name for it is "bacterial SSU rRNA". It matches the Rfam family "Bacterial small subunit ribosomal RNA", at positions 362 to 773 of the family's 1533-position model. The record is from RNAcentral.
UAUUGGUCAAUGGACGCGAGUCUGAACCAGCCAAGUAGCGUGAAGGAUGACUGCCCUAUGGGUUGUAAACUUCUUUUAUAUGGGAAUANNGUUUUCCACGUGUGGAAUUUUGUAUGUACCAUAUGAAUAAUGAUCGGCUAACUCCGGUCCAUCAGCAGCGGUAAUACGGAGGAUCCGAGCGUUAUCCGGAUUUAUCGGGUUUAAAGGGAGCGUAGGUGGAUUGUUAAGUCAGUUGUGAAAGUUUGCGGCUCAACCGUAAAAUUGCAGUUGAAACUGGCAGUCUUGAGUACAGUAGAGGUGGGCGGAAUUCGUGGUGUAGCGGUGAAAUGCUUAGAUAUCACGAAGAACUCCGAUUGCGAAGGCAGCUCACUGGACUGUUAACUGACACUGAGGCUCGAAAGUGUGGGUAUCAAAC